Molecule: unclassified non-coding RNA, 360 nt
Filed under: uncultured fungus
Lineage: Eukaryota; Fungi
Description: sequence contains ITS2
Source: RNAcentral
AACGCAUAUUGCACUCUUUGGUAUUCCGAGGAGUAUGCCUGUUUCAGUAUCAGAAAUAUACGAUCGAAGAAGUUUCUUCGGAUCUGGGUCUCGUAUGCAUCAUAUUCUCUCCCAUUUUGGCUCUUUGGUGAUCCGAAGGAAGGAGAGACGCUUGUUGAGCAUACUGGCCUGAAAUUCAUGGUCUUGCCGCAGUUUUUUUACACCAUCGCCGGCUCUCCCAAAAAAAAAGGCGUCACAGUUGACCGUGGUCAUCUUUCGCUUGUUGGAAGCCGGCACGGUGCUGUGCUUGAUCGAUCGCGAUCGCAAUCGCAAAUUGCAAAGUUUGAUCUGAAAUCAGGUAGGAUCACCCGCUGAACUUAA